Molecule: long non-coding RNA, 217 nt
Organism: Talpa occidentalis (Iberian mole)
Lineage: Eukaryota; Metazoa; Chordata; Mammalia; Eulipotyphla; Talpidae
Exons: 3
Source: RefSeq, a predicted model, not a curated record
UCACGUAGUUGAUCAGUGUGGUGCGUUCUAAUUCUGUUUCAGGAGGGUGACCGCUGGCAGUCCAGGAUGGUUCUUAUCCUGCAGGUCUCAGUUUGGAUACUAUCCCCCAAGAAGGCUGCUUGAUUAAUUUCCACACUUACCCAUCAAGGAAACGCACAAGAUGGAUACUUUCACUAAUGGCUUACCAUGAGGCUGAAUAGCUUGUGGGAACUGGAGG